UAUGAACUGACUCUUCAUGAUGAUCAACCAAUCACCAUCUUUCGGCUGA
RNAcentral lists this small nucleolar RNA (49 nucleotides) under Mola mola (ocean sunfish). Lineage: Eukaryota; Metazoa; Chordata; Actinopteri; Tetraodontiformes; Molidae. The record is from RNAcentral.